This is a non-coding RNA of Paramuricea clavata, 456 nucleotides long. NCBI's taxonomy places the organism in Eukaryota, Metazoa, Cnidaria, Anthozoa, Malacalcyonacea, Plexauridae. The record is from the annotation of a GenBank genome assembly.
CGAAUUUUGACAAACAUUUUUCAAAUUAAUACCAAGAAGUCAUAACCAGUAAUUACCUAAAUUUCUUUGCCAAUUUUACAUGUACAAUCCACGCUUAGUUGAUCAUUAACCGACACAGUUAUAAACAGUAUAUAAAACAUAAUUUAUAUAUUGCGAUUUCAAAAAAGUCAUGCUUUGUUGUUUUAUGCAGAAUGCAUGUACACGUCAGUUGGGGUAGUAAAGGGGCAAUGUCACCGAUUUUUGGGCAAUUCCAACCCUCGCAAAUUUUGCCCAAAACUGAAAAAGAAUGAGUGUAAGCACAAAAUAAAGCAAUAACAGACACAAAAAACAUGUACAGAAGUCUGGAUGGGCAAGAUUACGCCAGGAUUGAGAUGGAUUGUAAAUGGCAUCUUGAUUAAUUGUUGGCAGACACUUUUUCAAGUUUUAGUCAAUUUUUAUGAAAAUGUCAUAUUACAU